AGGGAGUUGACAUUUUGACAAAGUCUCUUGGAAGAGUAAAACUUAUCGAGAUGAGGAAGUUGAUUGGAGUUCAAAUGGUGAGUGAAGAUAACUUCAAGUUUAAGAGUGAGAAUGUUGGGAUAAACUUGAAGUUAGCUUGAGUUGCAAGCUAUCCUAACCACAUAAAGAUAUGGAUUACUAAAGUGAUUAGGAAAUAUGUGUUUGUGUUAUCCCUAAUAAAAAUAGGAAUUGUCUUGUCCUAUAUAAGUGAAUACCAAUGUGUGGCAAUGAUUUUAUGGGUUUUGUGAUUGAGUGAUUAAUAAGAAACUGAUAUUUGAUAAUCGAGUUCUUGUGUUCGUGUUUCAUACAAACUUGAUACUGUGAGAUAAUGAAGUGAAAAAUGAA
This 384-nucleotide long non-coding RNA is filed under the name Brassica napus (rape). RNAcentral describes it as "long non-coding RNA (BNAP_LNC024671)". The record is from RNAcentral. Lineage: Eukaryota; Viridiplantae; Streptophyta; Magnoliopsida; Brassicales; Brassicaceae.